GAAACUUAAAGGAAUUGACGGGACCGCACAAGCGGUGGAUGAUGUGGUUUAAUUCGAUGCAACGCGAAAAACCUUACCCACCUUUGACAUGUACGGAAUCCUUUAGAGAUAGAGGAGUGCUCGAAAGAGAGCCGUAACACAGGUGCUGCAUGGCUGUCGUCAGCUCGUGUCGUGAGAUGUUGGGUUAAGUCCCGCAACGAGCGCAACCCUUGUCAUUAGUUGCUACAUUCAGUUGGGCACUCUAAUGAGACUGCCGGUGACAAACCGGAGGAAGGUGGGGAUGACGUCAAGUCCUCAUGGCCCUUAUAGGUGGGGCUACACACGUCAUACAAUGGAUGGUACAAAGGGUCGCCAACCCGCGAGGGGGAGCCAAUCCCAUAAAGCCAUUCGUAGUCCGGAUCGCAGUCUGCAACUCGACUGCGUGAAGUCGGAAUCGCUAGUAAUCGUGGAUCAGAAUGUCACGGUGAAUACGUUCCCGGGUCUU
RNAcentral lists this ribosomal RNA (484 nucleotides) under uncultured Acidovorax sp. RNAcentral describes it as "bacterial SSU rRNA". It matches the Rfam family "Bacterial small subunit ribosomal RNA", at positions 896 to 1382 of the family's 1533-position model. Lineage: Bacteria; Pseudomonadati; Pseudomonadota; Betaproteobacteria; Burkholderiales; Comamonadaceae. The record is from RNAcentral.